RNAcentral lists this ribosomal RNA (655 nucleotides) under uncultured Bacteroides sp. Its description in RNAcentral is "bacterial SSU rRNA". It matches the Rfam family "Bacterial small subunit ribosomal RNA", at positions 68 to 715 of the family's 1533-position model. The record is from RNAcentral. Lineage: Bacteria; Pseudomonadati; Bacteroidota; Bacteroidia; Bacteroidales; Bacteroidaceae.
AGCAUGGUCUUAGCUUGCUAAGGCCGAUGGCGACCGGCGCACGGGUGAGUAACGCGUAUCCCCCCUGCCUUACACUCUUGGACAGCCUUCUGAAAGGGAGAUUACUACAAGAUGUUAUCAUGAGUAAGCAUUUUCGCAUGAUUAAAGGUUUACCGGUGUAAGAUGGGGAUGCGUUCCAUUAGAUAGUAGGCGGGGUAACGGCCCACCUAGUCUUCGAUGGAUAGGGGUUCUGAGAGGAAGGUCCCCCACAUUGGAACUGAGACACGGUCCAAACUCCUACGGGAGGCAGCAGUGAGGAAUAUUGGUCAAUGGACGAGAGUCUGAACCAGCCAAGUAGCGUGAAGGAUGAAGGUUCUAUGGAUUGUAAACUUCUUUUAUACGGGAAUAAACGGAUCCACGUGUGGAUUUUUGCAUGUACCGUAUGAAUAAGGAUCGGCUAACUCCGUGCCAGCAGCCGCGGUAAUACGGAGGAUCCGAGCGUUAUCCGGAUUUAUUGGGUUUAAAGGGAGCGUAGAUGGGUUGUUAAGUCAGUUGUGAAAGUUUGCGGCUCAACCGUAAAAUUGCAAUUGAUACUGGCAGUCUUGAGUACAGUUGAGGUAGGCGGAAUUCGUGGUGUAGCGGUGAAAUGCUUAGAUAUCACGAAGAACUCCGAUUG